AUUGAACGCUGGCGGCAGGCUUAACACAUGCAAGUCGAGCGGUAGCACAGGGGAGCUUGCUCCCUGGGUGACGAGCGGCGGACGGGUGAGUAAUGUCUGGGAAACUGCCUGAUGGAGGGGGAUAACUACUGGAAACGGUAGCUAAUACCGCAUAACGUCGCAAGACCAAAGAGGGGGGCCUUCGGGCCUCUUGCCAUCAGAUGUGCCCAGAUGGGAUUAGCUAGUAGGUGGGGUAAUGGCUCACCUAGGCGACGAUCCCUAGCUGGUCUGAGAGGAUGACCAGCCACACUGGAACUGAGACACGGUCCAGACUCCUACGGGAGGCAGCAGUGGGGAAUAUUGCACAAUGGGCGCAAGCCUGAUGCAGCCAUGCCGCGUGUGUGAAGAAGGCCUUCGGGUUGUAAAGCACUUUCAGCGAGGAGGAAGGUGGUGAGCUUAAUACGUUCAUCAAUUGACGUUACUCGCAGAAGAAGCACCGGCUAACUCCGUG
RNAcentral lists this ribosomal RNA (490 nucleotides) under uncultured bacterium. Its description in RNAcentral is "partial 16S ribosomal RNA". It matches the Rfam family "Bacterial small subunit ribosomal RNA", at positions 30 to 507 of the family's 1533-position model. The record is from RNAcentral.